Long non-coding RNA from Mirounga angustirostris (Northern elephant seal), 1262 nucleotides. RefSeq lists it as uncharacterized. NCBI's taxonomy places the organism in Eukaryota, Metazoa, Chordata, Mammalia, Carnivora, Phocidae. The record is from RefSeq and is a predicted model, not a curated record. The transcript is spliced from 3 exons.
GGCGCUCCUAGGUUAGCGACAGGGACACAUCUCUAAUUCAGUCACACCAAACGCACGCACCCAACCACCAAGCCACCCCGUGUCCUAAGAAUGACCGGCCUCCCGGAGUCCAGCACGCCUCGUCGUGCAUUUUAAGGGCAGAGAAAGGAAACGGGAUGGACUGAACAGAGGCUCCUGCUGCCGCCGCCACCAAAACCCUAGGCCUGGGAACACGAUUCAGAACACGGCGGGUGGAAAUCAGCCCUCGUCCCAGAGGAGGAAACUGAGGGGGUUUUUCCCCUACAGCAGAAGAAGUCCAAUGGAAGGGCAAGUCCAGGGUCGACUCGGAGGUCAAAGGCGUUCCCGCCCAGGAGUGUCCUGUUCUUGUGCUGUGCCCCGCAUCUCUCCCUCCCUGGCUUCCACAUCACCUCAUCAGAUGAGGAAGCCGGGCCAGAGGGUGACGCGAACCACUAAUGAGCGGUGAAGUCAGGAUCUGGAUCCAGACAGGCUGAUUGCCAGAGCUGCGCGCUCAUCAACAUCACCAUUCGGGAUGAGGCCUCCCCUCCCCACUGCCCACCGUCAGCUGCAGCCGAGCGCCAGGAGCGCAUGGUGCCCCUAAUAACCGGACCUCAGCUAUGCGACUGGGUGGGGCGUGGGACCAGCUUGUUCUCUCUGCUCUGGUUUCCUAUGUGUGUUCUCUCUCCUCCAGGAAGGAGUCAGGGGGGUCUCCCCCGGGCCCACACAAGUGGAGCCAGCUCUGACCCUCCCCUUCCGUCCCUGCCUCAUGCAUCAAGCCUCAGGCUGCCCCUGGGAGGGGAACUCCACUCACCGGUGCAGGCCAUGUGCCAGGCACAGCUGAGCCCUUCAGAUCUGCGGAUCAGAUGAACCCUCUCCACCCCCCUGUGCAAGAGGGGAUGUUAGCCUCCUUUAUGGAUGAGGAAACUGAGGCUCGGAGAGGUUAUGUGCACUGCCUAAGGUCACACAGCCAGUGAGCAGUGGGACUGGGAUUUGAACUCAGGUCUGUCUGAUUUGAGAGUGCCUGGGCUCUCCCCCUUCUUGUGUCCUUCCUACACCCUCUUCCUUCGUGUUCUCUGUCUAAUCCCCAUUUAUCCUUAAGACCCUCCUUCAUACUUUUUCCUUUGCUCCUAGUAUGUUAAUUGAUGAUAAUACAUAAUAAUGCGUUUAUUGGACACUUGUCACCAGCUAGCAUUUUAUAUGUUCUCUCCUGUAAUCUCCCCCACAGCUGAUGGACUGAGGUGUUACUACCAUGCCCAUUUUACAGA